Molecule: ribosomal RNA, 253 nt
Filed under: uncultured bacterium
Lineage: Bacteria
Description: partial 16S ribosomal RNA
Rfam family: Bacterial small subunit ribosomal RNA
Source: RNAcentral
UACGUAGGGGGCAAGCGUUGUCCGGAAUCAUUGGGCGUAAAGAGCGUGUAGGCGGUUCGGUAAGUCGGCUGUGAAAGUCCAGGGCUCAACCCUGGGAUGCCGGUCGAUACUGCCGGACUAGAGUUCGGAAGAGGCGAGUGGAAUUCCCGGUGUAGCGGUGAAAUGCGCAGAUAUCGGGAGGAACACCAACGGCGAAGGCGGUUCUCUGGGACGGUACUGACGCUGAGACGCGAAAGCGUGGGGAGCGAACAGG